RNAcentral lists this ribosomal RNA (313 nucleotides) under Priestia flexa. RNAcentral's name for it is "bacterial SSU rRNA". It matches the Rfam family "Bacterial small subunit ribosomal RNA", at positions 59 to 358 of the family's 1533-position model. Lineage: Bacteria; Bacillati; Bacillota; Bacilli; Caryophanales; Bacillaceae. The record is from RNAcentral.
CAGUCGAGCGACUGAUUAGAAGCUUGCUUCUAUGACGUUAGCGGCGGACGGGUGAGUAACACGUGGGGCAACCUGCCUGUAAGACUGGGAUAACUCCGGGAAACCGGAGCUAAUACCGGAUAACAUUUUCUCUUGCAUAAGAGAAAAUUGAAAGAUGGUUUCGGCUAUCACUUACAGAUGGGCCCGCGGUGCAUUAGCUAGUUGGUGAGGUAACGGCUCACCAAGGCAACCGAUGCAUAGCCGACCUGAGAGGGUGAUCGGCCACACUGGGACUGAGACACGGCCCAGACUCCUACGGGGGGCAGCAGUGGGA